RNAcentral lists this long non-coding RNA (413 nucleotides) under Ictidomys tridecemlineatus (thirteen-lined ground squirrel). Its description in RNAcentral is "lncRNA (ENSSTOG00000034896.1)". The record is from RNAcentral. Lineage: Eukaryota; Metazoa; Chordata; Mammalia; Rodentia; Sciuridae.
GUGUUUUCCAUUAAAAUUGUACUCGAGGAGGAAGUAUCCUAUGGGAAGAGCACACACCUGAGAAUCUAGACUUGUAGCCCAGUUACCAUUUGAAACUCAGAAAUUCUGCAACCUUGGAAGAAUCUGGCCAGAGGCUACUCCUGGCAUCUCUUUGCCUUCAUUGAGGAAGAACAGAUUGUGUGGAGUAUUUGAACUACUGAAACUACCCACCAUGGAGGAGGAGCAAUUCCUCCAAAGGAAACACAAGGUGCUGACUGGAUUUGAGGAUGGGCACUAGGCCAUCAAUAUCAACAAGAUUCCCCGACAGCAUUGGAGACUGGUUUCUACAUCUGAUACUGGUACUUGCCAUGUAAAUUACUCUACUCCUCCAAGUCUAAUGUAACAUGAGGGUGAUAAUAAACCCAACUCCACAG